GUAAGGAAUAUUGGACAAUGGGCGGAAGCCUGAUCCAGCCAUCCCGCGUGCUUGAUGAAGGCCCUCUGGGUUGUAAAGAGCUUUAGUCUGGGAAGAAACCGUUUUCUGCGGAAGACGCUGACGGUACCAGAAGAAUAAGCACCGGCUAACUCCGUGCCAGCAGCCGCGGUAAUACGGAGGGUGCAAGCGUUAUCCGGAAUCACUGGGUUUAAAGGGUGCGUAGGCGGUCUGAUAAGUCAGAGGUGAAAGCCUGCAGCUUAACUGUAGAAUUGCCUUUGAUACUGUCAGACUUGAAUGGGGUCGAGGUCGGCGGAAUGUGGCAUGUAGCGGUGAAAUGCAUAGAUAUGCCAUAGAACACCAAUUGCGAAGGCAGCUGACUAGGCCUGUAUUGACGCUGAGGCACGAAAGCGUGGGGAGCAAACAGGAUUAGAAACCCGAGUAGUCC
RNAcentral lists this ribosomal RNA (445 nucleotides) under uncultured bacterium. RNAcentral describes it as "bacterial SSU rRNA". It matches the Rfam family "Bacterial small subunit ribosomal RNA", at positions 354 to 796 of the family's 1533-position model. The record is from RNAcentral.